RNAcentral lists this ribosomal RNA (211 nucleotides) under uncultured bacterium. RNAcentral's name for it is "partial 16S ribosomal RNA". It matches the Rfam family "Bacterial small subunit ribosomal RNA", at positions 30 to 250 of the family's 1533-position model. The record is from RNAcentral.
CCUGAACGCUGGCGGCGUGGCUAAGACAUGCAAGUCGCACGGUGUAGCAAUACACAGUGGCGAACGGGUGAGUAAUGAAUCGCUAAUGUACCCCGGACUCUGGGAUAGCUAGCCGAAAGGUUAGGUAAUACCAGAUGAUAUACUUCUAUCGCAUGAUAGAAGUCUCAAAGGUCCGCCGGUCUGGGAGCAGGCGAUUUCGUAUCAGCUAGUU